UUCUCUCCCUGGUCCACAUGUGCUGACAGGAUUGGCACAGAGAGAGCCCAACCCCCCUCCAUCACCCGAUUCCUCUCCCUCUCCCUCUUCCCUCGCCUGCCGCCGCCACAACUCAUCAGCACCAUCUUCCACAGCCAUCGUCACCACCGGCGCCCUUCCCCGGCAGGAAGAGGGGGAUAGAUGCAGCAGCCAGCCACGACUCACCACCGGCGCCCUCUCCCGGCAGGAAGAGGUUGGCCACGACUCAUCACCAACGCCCUCCCCCGGCAGGAAGAGGAGUGCAGAGGCAGCAGCCAGCCGCGACUCGUCUGUGUCGCGUUUUGGCCCAGAUGCGGCCGCCCCGUGCUCUGCCGGCGCCCGUCGGCCUCGAUCCGACCUCGGCAGUAGGAGCUCAAGCCGAUGAGCGCGGCCUCGAUCCGGGCUCGGCAGGAGGACACGCGACAUCUCAUUCCCAUCACUUUUGGUUGCGCCUCCCGCGAGUUCCUCUUUCUAAUCCCCUUCCUCUCUAAUUUAAUUCUUGUUUUAAGUGUUUCCUGCUGCCUAUGGUUGCUGUAGGUAUUUUCGUCUUCCCCACUUCUACUCUUAUACUCCAAUUUGACUCAGUCCUAAUUUCUACAUCUUUCACAAGUAAUCUUUUUUAUUUCCUGAAUUCUGUAUGUGCUCAUUGGACUGCAACAGCCAGGGAUGCCAGAGAUGGAGACUUUCAUGACAUCUUGUCACUUCCAAAUAAAUAGAGAGGAAAGGCAGAUGAGAACAUUGGUUCGAAAAUUCAAAGUAUCAAAGAAUUGGUCUGGCCUUUGGUCAUGGUAAGUGAACUCAGCUUUAUAAGGUCAGCUGAAUGAUAUCAUUGUUGUUUUAAAGUUGAUUGCAUCGAAUAUGAUUGAAAGGCUGAAAUGUUGUUGCUGUUUUUUUCCCCUUCUGUGAAGAAAUUAAUUAAGUUGUUGUUUGGCCUGUGAUAUCUUGUGGUUGUUGGCGGGCUCCCAUCUAGCACCAUCUGCUGGUCUACAAAGAGUCAGGAGGCGCAUGUGAAUGUUUAAUCAACCCCAUGAGCAGAGCAGGUGUUAAUUAACUAAUCAUGGGUUGAUUAAAGUAAUUCAAAUAUACUCUUUUGCAGGCUGAGUUCACUUUGAUGGGUGGUACUUUCAUGUCAUUACUGGCUGCUUAUUGUGAUUAUUUUACCAGAAAUCUGCAAUAUGCUUUAUCGGGGCAUACUUCUGCUAAUGUUGCAGAUUUGUUAUUCAGAACAUAGUGCUGUCAAACAUAUCACUAUGACAAUUGGGACGGAAGGUUCAUUCAACAUCUGUCCAUGAUUCUUGGAUGCAUUUGAAAAUUCCUUGUGAUUUUCCCCCUGAAACAUCUAAUUGGUCUUUUUAUUCUAGGAGACCUGAUUAUUGCUUAGGGCUUCAUCUUUGGCAAAUGCUAUCUUAUGGAUGUACCCGCUUUCACAUUUGUGUUCAGACUACAAACAAAGGCCACACAGUAGUUGUUGUUGCUGAUUGUUUUUCUUCUUCUGCAAAAGAUGUUGUUUAAGAUUUAAUAAUGUCGGAGUUGAGAGAGAUAUGAGAACAACUAUCAGGUCAAAGUAAGCACCACUUGCCAUGCAAGCGAUGUACGGCGGUGGCGAGCGCCACUGAGUGUGCACGGUGCAAAAGAAGGGGGAGCGGCUGUCGGAUUUUGUUGAAGCGAAAAAUUGGUUUUUGAUGCAUUCAAAAAUCAAUAAUCAUCAGCGGCAAUGAAAUUUACAAGACCGACCAGUGGAUGAUGACUAUCUCCAUACUUGAUCUUUCUAUUUGACAGUGCAUAACAUAUUAUGGCGUCAGAAGAACAGUCUUCUGUGACGCUCGCAAGAGGGAUGUGGUCUACAUUGAGCAGUACUACGAUGGCGCUGACGAACAGCUGCUCAAGCAGGCGAUGAUGAAGAAACCUCAUAUCAAACAGAGUCCAAACGGGAUAAAAACGGACGAAAAUUAUUUUGGAAUAUUUAGGAAUUUUUGGAGGAAGAAUCAACGCGAAACGGUGUCCGAGGUGGCCAUGAGACAGGGGGGCGUGCUCCCUCCCCCUGGGCAUGCCUGGCACCCUCGUGGGCCACCCGUAAGGCGGUUGAUGCCCUUCUUUUGUCGCAAGAAAGCUAAUUUUGUGAGAAAAAUUUGGAUGAAAAAUUCACCUCAAUCGGAGUUACGGAUCUCCGGAUAUAAAAGAAACGGUGAAGGGGAAGGAUCUGGGAACGCAGAAACAGAGAAAGACAGAGAGAUAGAUCCAAUCUCGGAGGGGCUCUCGCCCCUCGCACGCCAUGG
This is a long non-coding RNA of Triticum aestivum (bread wheat), 2294 nucleotides long. RefSeq lists it as uncharacterized. The record is from RefSeq and is a predicted model, not a curated record. The transcript has 4 exons. Lineage: Eukaryota; Viridiplantae; Streptophyta; Magnoliopsida; Poales; Poaceae.